RNAcentral lists this ribosomal RNA (241 nucleotides) under uncultured bacterium. RNAcentral describes it as "partial 16S ribosomal RNA". It matches the Rfam family "Bacterial small subunit ribosomal RNA", at positions 95 to 334 of the family's 1533-position model. The record is from RNAcentral.
CCGGCGCACGGGUGAGUAACACGUAUCCAACCUGCCGUCUACUCUUGGCCAGCCUUCUGAAAGGAAGAUUAAUCCAGGAUGGGAUCAUGAGUUCACAUGUCCGCAUGAUUAAAGGUAUUUUCCGGUAGACGAUGGGGAUGCGUUCCAUUAGAUAGUAGGCGGGGUAACGGCCCACCUAGUCUACGAUGGAUAGGGGUUCUGAGAGGAGGGUCCCCCACAUUGGAACUGAGACACGGCCCAA